CUCAGUUCGGAUUGGAGGCUGAAACCCGCCUCCAUGAAGUUGGAUUCGCUAGUAAUCGCGCAUCAGCCAUGGCGCGGUGAAUACGUUCCCGGGCCUUGUACACACCGCCCGUCAAGCCAUGGAAGCUGGGGGUGCCUGAAGUUCGUGACCGGAAGGAGCGACCUAGGGCAAAACCGGUGACUGGGGCUAAGUCGUAACAAGGUAGC
This 206-nucleotide ribosomal RNA is filed under the name uncultured bacterium. Its description in RNAcentral is "partial 16S ribosomal RNA". It matches the Rfam family "Bacterial small subunit ribosomal RNA", at positions 1287 to 1500 of the family's 1533-position model. The record is from RNAcentral.